GAUGAACGCUGGCGGCGUGCCUAAUACAUGCAAGUCGAGCGAACGGACGAGAAGCUUGCUUCUCUGAUGUUAGCGGCGGACGGGUGAGUAACACGUGGAUAACCUACCUAUAAGACUGGGAUAACUUCGGGAAACCGUAGCUAAUACCGGAUAAUAUUUUGAACCGCAUGGUUCAAAAGUGAAAGACGGUCUUGUUGUCACUUAUAGAUGGAUCCGCGCUGCAUUAGCUAGUUGGUAAGGUAACGGCUUACCAAGGCAACGAUGCAUAGCCGACCUGAGAGGGUGAUCGGCCACACUGGAACUGAGACACGGUCCAGACUCCUACGGGAGGCAGCAGUAGGGAAUCUUCCGCAAUGGGCGAAAGCCUGACGGAGCAACGCCGCGUGAGUGAUGAAGGUCUUCGGAUCGUAAAACUCUGUUAUUAGGGAAGAACAUAUGUGUAAGUAACUGUGCGCAUCUUGACGGUACCUAAUCAGAAAGCCACGGCUAACUACGUG
This 497-nucleotide ribosomal RNA is filed under the name uncultured bacterium. Its description in RNAcentral is "partial 16S ribosomal RNA". It matches the Rfam family "Bacterial small subunit ribosomal RNA", at positions 28 to 507 of the family's 1533-position model. The record is from RNAcentral.